GAUAGAUGGAGGGCAUGAGAACAGCAGAGCACAAACAUGUACAGGUGCAAGCAUAGCAAAGCUGGUGAUACAUACAGUCUAUGCUUCUCUCCAUGAGCCUGCAGCUGGAUGUUUCAGCUAAGUUCUCUGCCUGUCAAUCCCCUGACUCACCCCCAUGCUCAUGUUACAGCAACUUUUGGGAAAUCUGACCAGAGGAUCCUUGCCACUUUUCUUCUCAAGAG
Long non-coding RNA from Mus caroli (Ryukyu mouse), 221 nucleotides. RefSeq lists it as uncharacterized. Lineage: Eukaryota; Metazoa; Chordata; Mammalia; Rodentia; Muridae. The record is from RefSeq and is a predicted model, not a curated record.